GGCACAAGUGGGAUGUUAUGGUACAUACACAUUAUCCGAUAGUUUGUGUUUAAUGGCUGCACAUUUUGUGUUGUGCUCUUCAGAUUGCUAAUAUUUACAAGCUCAUAAUGUGAAUGCUCAAUUACUCAUCCAGUCACCUUUUGUGUUUGUUUGUCAGCAAUACAUGUAGACAUUUCAUAACUACGUUGUAUAUGAAGAAGUUAUAUGAUAUUCCUUUCUCAUUAAAGUGCACCCUUUGGGUUACACUUUUUUGCUCUUCGUUUGCAUAAGUUGGCUAUAAUUUCUUACUUUUUAGGUUUAUUUCAUUUCUAUUUAUUUAUUUUCCAUAUGCAGGUGGACUUGUUCUUCUACA
This 352-nucleotide unclassified non-coding RNA is filed under the name Hevea brasiliensis (rubber tree). Lineage: Eukaryota; Viridiplantae; Streptophyta; Magnoliopsida; Malpighiales; Euphorbiaceae. The record is from RNAcentral.